Molecule: unclassified non-coding RNA, 239 nt
Filed under: Naetrocymbe sp.
Lineage: Eukaryota; Fungi; Ascomycota; Dothideomycetes; Pleosporales; Naetrocymbaceae
Description: partial contains 5.8S ribosomal RNA, internal transcribed spacer 2, and large subunit ribosomal RNA
Source: RNAcentral
AACGCACAUUGCGCCCCUUGGUAUUCUGGGGGGCAUGCCUGUUCGAGCGUCAUUUCAACCCUCAAGCUCAGCUUGGUAUUGAGUCCAUGUCAGUAAUGGCAGGCUCCAAAGUCAGUGGCGGCGCCGCUGGGUCCUGAACGUAGUAAUAUCUCUCGUUACAGGCUCUCAGCGUGCUUCUGCCAAAACCCAAACUUUCUAUGGUUGACCUCGGAUCAGGUAGGGAUACCCGCUAAACUUAA